This is a non-coding RNA of Podarcis lilfordi (Lilford's wall lizard), 168 nucleotides long. The record is from the annotation of a GenBank genome assembly. Lineage: Eukaryota; Metazoa; Chordata; Lepidosauria; Squamata; Lacertidae.
CUUAGUCACUGCUGCUUACAGGGAGGAUAGGGAGGGGCAAGGUGGUGGCGGCAGAUCAGUGCAGUGCAAAUGCAUCAGCAGCAGCACUGGAUUGGCACCGCUGGUGCAUUUGCACCACAUUGACUUCCCUGACGCCUUGCCCCCCUCCCAGUAAACAGCAGCGACUCA